Molecule: long non-coding RNA, 310 nt
Filed under: Mytilus galloprovincialis (Mediterranean mussel)
Lineage: Eukaryota; Metazoa; Mollusca; Bivalvia; Mytilida; Mytilidae
Source: RNAcentral
CAUAAAAAAAAUUCAUGGCUUUCUAUUUCUAUCUGUUUAUAAUUUUUGAUGAUCACUUUGGUUCUUUAGAAUGUUUCUACGUCUCUGAUAUUUUGUGAUGUAGUCGUUAAUAGAAAAUCGAAACUGCUGGUCCAAAUUUGUCCACAAUUUGCAGAAAAUGAGUACAGAACAGUUACAUUUGGUUCAGAUUUGAGAUUCAAUAUUGCAGCAAUUAUCAAAAUACUUAAUAUUGAACCACUACUUUUGAUGUAAAUAAAUCUAAUUGUUCCUAUCCAUAUUGUGAUUAUUAUAUUCUACUAGAACAUACCCG